CAACUUUCAACAACGGAUCUCUUGGCUCUCGCAUCGAUGAAGAACGCAGCGAAUCGCGAUAAGUAAUGUGAAUUGCGGAAUUACGUGAAUCAUCGAAUCUUUGAACGCAUAUUGCACUCUCUGGUAAUCCGGGGAGUAUGCCUGUUUGAGGGUCAGU
This 157-nucleotide ribosomal RNA is filed under the name uncultured Glomus. Its description in RNAcentral is "5.8S ribosomal RNA". It matches the Rfam family "5.8S ribosomal RNA". Rfam says of the family: 5.8S ribosomal RNA (5.8S rRNA) is a component of the large subunit of the eukaryotic ribosome. It is transcribed by RNA polymerase I as part of the 45S precursor that also contains 18S and 28S rRNA. Lineage: Eukaryota; Fungi; Glomeromycota; Glomeromycetes; Glomerales; Glomeraceae. The record is from RNAcentral.